UGAACGCUGGCGGCGUGCCUAAUACAUGCACGUCGAGCGAACAGACGCGGAGCUUGCUCCUCUGACGUUAGCGGCGGACGGGUGAGUAACACGUGGAUAACCUACCUAUAAGACUGGGAUAACUUCGGGAAACCGGAGCUAAUACCGGAUAAUAUAUUGAACCGCAUGGUUCAAUAGUGAAAGACGGUUUUGCUGUCACUUAUAGAUGGAUCCGCGCCGCAUUAGCUAGUUGGUAAGGUAACGGCUUACCAAGGCAACGAUGCGUAGCCGACCUGAGAGGGUGAUCGGCCACACUGGAACUGAGACACGGUCCAGACUCCUACGGGAGGCAGCAGUAGGGAAUCUUCCGCAAUGGGCGAAAGCCUGACGGAGCAACGCCGCGUGAGUGAUGAAGGUCCUCGGAUCGUAAAACUCUGUUAUUAGGGAAGAACAAAUGUGUAAGUAACUAUGCACGUCUUGACGGUACCUAAUCAGAAAGCCACGGCUAACUACGUG
This 495-nucleotide ribosomal RNA is filed under the name uncultured bacterium. RNAcentral describes it as "partial 16S ribosomal RNA". It matches the Rfam family "Bacterial small subunit ribosomal RNA", at positions 30 to 507 of the family's 1533-position model. The record is from RNAcentral.